AAAAUUUGAUUUGUAUGAAAGACCUCAAGUUAAAAGGUUUGAAGACCCAUGAUUGUCAUAUUCUAAUGGAGCAUUUGCUACCAAUAGGUAUACGUUCCAUUUUACCUGAAAAAGUUCGACUAGCCUUAACUAGAUUAUGUUUCUUCUUUAGGGAAAUUUGUAGUAAAGUGAUCGACCCUCAGAAAUUACCGACAUUGCAG
RNAcentral lists this long non-coding RNA (200 nucleotides) under Cicer arietinum (chickpea). RNAcentral's name for it is "long non-coding RNA (CARI_LNC003377)". The record is from RNAcentral. Lineage: Eukaryota; Viridiplantae; Streptophyta; Magnoliopsida; Fabales; Fabaceae.